UGGAUAUCAGACCCCCCCAUUUCUUCAGCUCUGAGGUCAGUCAUGCUGCUGAGGUUUCUGAGGAGGUGCCAGCACUGAGAAAGGACAUGAGAGAGGAAGAGAAAUGUCUGGACUGUAUUUAGAAGCAAGGAGUCCCUUGGAGAAGAGCCCCUGGAUGGUCCUGCAGCAGGACAGAGCCUCAGAGGGUACCACAUUGCCUGAUCGAGAUCAUUUUCCAGAUAUAAUUUAUUUGAAUACUGCACAUGAAGAUAUUACAUCUGCACUGGAUGAGCUCUGUAUAAACACCAAAGGGGGAAAAGCAUCCCAUUGGCAAGUGAUGAAGCCCUGAAGAGCUGAGCUAAGCUAUUUUCCUGAUGAGAGCUCCAGGAGAGCUGAUGUUUUCCCCCACUGAGAUGUCCUCACCUGCUUUGUUCAAUAGCAUCCACAGAAAAUAAGAAUCAAGAGCUGCCCCACACCAACAAGGAAGAUGGGUUCCUCUACAUGUUUUCAGAAGUUUCUAAACCAAGGAAGACCAUUUCUGCUCUUCAAAGU
Molecule: long non-coding RNA, 531 nt
Organism: Calypte anna (Anna's hummingbird)
Lineage: Eukaryota; Metazoa; Chordata; Aves; Apodiformes; Trochilidae
Exons: 4
Source: RefSeq, a predicted model, not a curated record